AGAGUUUGAUCAUGGCUCAGAUUGAACGCUGGCGGUAGGCUUAACACAUGCAAGUCGUGCGAGAAAGCACCUUCGGGUGCGAGUAGAGCGGCGAACGGGUGAGUAACGCGUAGGAAUCUACCUAGUAGAAGGGGAUAGCCCGAGGAAACUCGGAUUAAUACCGUAUACCUCCUUAGGGAGAAAGAGGGCUUAGCUUUGAUGCUCUCGCUAUUAGAUGAGCCUGCGUAAGAUUAGCUUGUUGGUGAGGUAAAGGCUCACCAAGGCUACGAUCUUUAGCUGGUCUGAGAGGACGAUCAGCCACAUUGGGACUGAGACACGGCCCAGACUCCUACGGGAGGCAGCAGUGGGGAAUAUUGGACAAUGGGCGCAAGCCUGAUCCAGCCAUACCGCGUGUGUGAAGAAGGCUUUCGGGUUGUAAAGCACUUUAAGUAAGGAGAAAAAGACUGUAGUUAAUACCUGCAGUCCGUGAUGUUACUUACAGAAUAAGGACCGGCUAAUUCCGUGCCAGCAGCCGCGGUAAUACCGAAGGUCCAAGCGUUAAUCGGAAUUACUGGGCGUAAAGCGCGCGUAGGUGGUUUUUUAAGUUGGAUGUGAAAGCCCUGGGCUCAACCUAGGAACUGCAUCCAAAACUAGAUGACUAGAGUACGAAAGAGGGAGGUAGAAUUCACAGUGUAGCGGUGGAAUGC
Molecule: ribosomal RNA, 686 nt
Filed under: uncultured marine bacterium
Lineage: Bacteria
Description: bacterial SSU rRNA
Rfam family: Bacterial small subunit ribosomal RNA
Source: RNAcentral